Molecule: long non-coding RNA, 430 nt
Organism: Spea bombifrons (plains spadefoot toad)
Lineage: Eukaryota; Metazoa; Chordata; Amphibia; Anura; Pelobatidae
Exons: 2
Source: RefSeq, a predicted model, not a curated record
AAUGAAUAGGAAUGAAUGAAUUAACCUUCACCCCAUGAGGAAGAAGCACUUACUGCCACCCACCUAGGGUGUUGCAAGUGAUCUCUUCUAUUUUUUCUUGUAAGGGGAUUGACAGGCACAUUUCAAUAUUUGAGUAAGAUUUACUUGAAACUAAGCUAAUGAAUGCUAAGACUUAAGUUUGUUUCAACUUUUAUCAACUCACUUGCAUACACGGGACUGCAAGAGACUGCAUGAUAUGAGGUAAAAAAAAAAGGAAGCAACUCGUGGACUAGGGAAAUCAAAAAGGGCCAGGAACAUGUACUGGAUUUUGCUGGUUCUGGUAAGAAGAAUGAGAUAGGCUGUGUGAGGUCACUAAAACAAGCCAGGUCUGGUACCAUGAAUCCUACAGGUUCUCCACUAGAAGUUACAAUUACCAAAGCCAAAGGAAAAA